Molecule: ribosomal RNA, 253 nt
Filed under: uncultured bacterium
Lineage: Bacteria
Description: partial 16S ribosomal RNA
Rfam family: Bacterial small subunit ribosomal RNA
Source: RNAcentral
UACAGAGGGUGCGAGCGUUGUCCGGAAUUAUUGGGCGUAAAGAGCGUGUAGGCGGUUCGGUAAGUCUGCUGUGAAAUCCUGGGGCUCAACCCUGGGCGUGCAGCGGAUACUGCCGGGCUAGAGGGUGGUAGAGGCGAGUGGAAUUCCGAGUGUAGCGGUGAAAUGCUCAGAUAUUCGGAGGAACACCAGUAGCGAAGGCGGCUCGCUGGGCCUCAACUGACGCUGAGACGCGAAAGCGUGGGGAGCGAACAGG